RNAcentral lists this long non-coding RNA (273 nucleotides) under Lathyrus oleraceus (garden pea). Its description in RNAcentral is "Pisum sativum (pea) long non-coding RNA (PSAT_LNC015477)". The record is from RNAcentral. Lineage: Eukaryota; Viridiplantae; Streptophyta; Magnoliopsida; Fabales; Fabaceae.
UUUGGUAAGACCCUUGUCACGUGAGUCUCAGGCUUUGAGAAGUUCCUGCUUUUCGCCCUUACCAUGUUAGACUCAUUGCUUUAGUAAGACCCUUGUCAUGUGAGUCUCAGGAUUUAACAAGUUCAUGUUUUUCUCCCUUACCAUGUUAGACCCAGUGCUUUGGUAAGACCAUUGUCACAUGAGUCUCAGGCUUUGACAAGUUCCUGCUUUUCUCCCUUACCAUGACAGUCCUCGUGCUUUGGUAAGUCCUUUUCUUUCAGAUUUAAACACCAC